AUUGAACGCUGGCGGCAGGCCUAACACAUGCGAGUCGAGCGGAUGAAGGGAGCUUGCUCCUGGAUUCAGCGGCGGACGGGUGAGUAAUGCCUAGGAAUCUGCCUGGUAGUGGGGGAUAACGUCCGGAAACGGGCGCUAAUACCGCAUACGUCCUGAGGGAGAAGGUGGGGGAUCUUCGGACCUCACGCCAUCAGAUGAGCCUAGGUCGGAUUAGCUAGUUGGUGGGGUAAAGGCCUACCAAGGCGACGAUCCGUAACUGGUCUGAGAGGAUGAUCAGUCACACUGGAACUGAGACACGGUCCAGACUCCUACGGGAGGCAGCAGUGGGGAAUAUUGGACAAUGGGCGAAAGCCUGAUCCAGCCAUGCCGCGUGUGUGAAGAAGGUCUUCGGAUUGUAAAGCACUUUAAGUUGGGAGGAAGGGCAGUAAGUUAAUACCUUGCUGUUUUGACGUUACCAACAGAAUAAGCACCGGCUAACUUCGUG
Molecule: ribosomal RNA, 484 nt
Filed under: uncultured bacterium
Lineage: Bacteria
Description: partial 16S ribosomal RNA
Rfam family: Bacterial small subunit ribosomal RNA
Source: RNAcentral